GUUCUUACGGGUCUGUUUCUAACCGUUCUCUCUUGUUCAGUUGAAUUGUUGACAACGAGGUUUUCUUGAUCACAGUUGCUUAUGUCCCUUUCCUCGACUUCGUUCGUUGACAGUUCUAGUGGGUACAAUUUGCAAAUUGGUCUGUUUGUAUACCCUGUGCUUGUUCGAAUGUUCGCUGCUCGGACCAAGUUAUCACCUCCUCGAAUGAGAUCUUCCACAACUGCUAGUUUCCAGGUGGACCUCGGGCUGUCGUCAUGGACUAGAACUACGUCUCCUUUCUUAAUAAUCUGCUAAUUGUCUCCGCUAGAACGAUGAAACUCACGUAAAGAGGUGAAAUAUUCGUGCCUCCAUCUUUUCCAGAACCGUUGUAAAAUGAUAGCUUGUAGUUUCACUCGGCGUCGAAUAUCUGACUCAGUUCCAUAAUCUGGAUCUGUUAGGUCAUCCUCGGAGACAGGCGUAUCAAACGGUAAUGACGUGAUUCUUCUUCCGUACAAUAAGUGUGACGGUGUUAGUGGCUCUUCAUCGUUU
Paramuricea clavata is the source of this 528-nucleotide non-coding RNA. NCBI's taxonomy places the organism in Eukaryota, Metazoa, Cnidaria, Anthozoa, Malacalcyonacea, Plexauridae. The record is from the annotation of a GenBank genome assembly.